UUAAUCCAUUUAACUAUUUAACCCAUCAAAUUAAAUGAGUUCAUGGGUUGACUCAACUCAUUUGCUAAUGUGUUGAGUCAACUCAUGAACUCAUUUAACUCUAAAAUUAUUGGGUAAUAUGU
Non-coding RNA from Arabidopsis suecica, 122 nucleotides. The record is from the annotation of a GenBank genome assembly. NCBI's taxonomy places the organism in Eukaryota, Viridiplantae, Streptophyta, Magnoliopsida, Brassicales, Brassicaceae.